Molecule: transfer RNA, 72 nt
Filed under: Indri indri
Lineage: Eukaryota; Metazoa; Chordata; Mammalia; Primates; Indriidae
Description: tRNA-Ser
Rfam family: tRNA
About the family: Transfer RNA (tRNA) molecules are approximately 80 nucleotides in length. Their secondary structure includes four short double-helical elements and three loops (D, anti-codon, and T loops).
Source: RNAcentral
UAAAGAAAGUCAUAGUGGCUAUGUGGUUGGCUUGAAAUCAGUUAUAGGGGGUUCGAUUCCCUCCUUUCUUAA